Maylandia zebra (zebra mbuna) is the source of this 1735-nucleotide non-coding RNA. NCBI's taxonomy places the organism in Eukaryota, Metazoa, Chordata, Actinopteri, Cichliformes, Cichlidae. The record is from RefSeq and is a predicted model, not a curated record.
UGUGUUUUUCCUCUUUUCCUCCUUCCUGCAGCUCCAUCUUCAUCAUUCUGUGUCCAGUAUAUGUGAACACGUCCAAAGCAUCUGAGCCUCAUGUUACCCGUUUGUGUGUCUGCCCAACAAGGACGUGGUGCUGAAUGCAUCCAGACCCCUGCUGACUGUCUUUGCAGCUUCGGUCAAAGGUACAGUGUCCACUGUGACCCUGAGAGCAGGACACAGCCAGAGAUGGCAGAUCCAGGCUCUCAGCCUCCAGCUGAAACUUCCAGUCCUCCCCCAGCCAGAAGCUCUGAUGCUGGGCUGAGAGACUUUGAUCCUUCCCUGGAUCCAGAAAUCCAGGAGGGAGAAGGAGAACAGGACCUCCUUCCUGAUCUGGAGAGGCCUGAGGGAAAGAAAGAUGGAGCAGACAGAGCUUUGAACAAAUCCAAACCUCCUGAGCUUCACCUCCACAAAGGUGUGACAGGUGAAGGACACCGGCGAAUAGGAGGACAGAAGCUGAGAGCCAUUAGUCACAUGACUUCAGCUGCUGCUGCCUCACCAACCACUGGCCCCUCGGUGUCUGGUAAAAGGACGAUGCUGCUGUCCAAUGAGGCGAGGAGAGAAGUAGCCAAACAGGCGAGAGCCGUGAAGGAGGAACGGCGGGCAGCUCUGGAUGCCCGACAUAAAUACCUGAUGAGCAGGCUGGCCGACGCCGGCAGCCUGGAGGAGGCGGCGGUGGAAGACGCCAUCGUCUCUGAUGACAGAUUCAGUCUGAUCCAUGAAUUCUUUGCUGCAAACGGAUCCAAGAAGCUGAUUUUCUUCUAUCAGGAUGUCAAACAGAGUCUGUCCUCCCGUCAGUCUUCCUUUGUGGACGCAUCAAACUCAGCUGUGGCUCAGAGGAAACUCUUCCUCACUACGGGGAACUCUGAGAGAAGACGUCAAACCCCUUCUUGGCAGUUUAUCUCAAUAAAGCUGUACUAUCCCAGCCAUCUGGGAGGGAAAAAAUGAAAAAGAAAACUUUUGAUGUGUCCAGACAUUUCUUCACAUCAGCUGCCAGCAACCAGUUUCAGCAUGUACAACUGUUGCAUUGUCAACUGUGUCAACGACCAAUGAGGACAUCACUGCUACACUUGAUGAUACUCACACCUUGAAAAAGUGCAAAGGUUUCCCAACAGGACUUCGACGGUUGGUCUUCUUGAUCAAGCUAUAAUCUGUUCUCAUCAAAACCACCAUAAAACCAGUUUGACAGGAUGAUGCUGAUAAAUCCCUCUAGACCUUUUUGUGACAGUAUUAAAAGCUUGCUGGAAAUUCUCUGUACUCAUAUUUGUGCUCAGUAUCUGUAGGAGCCAUUUUUGUGUGGGUACCUCAUGUAUGCCACUAGGGGUCACCUUUUGUGUUACAUAUGGUGUGUCUAUUUAAGGUAGAUAGGUCAUUAGCAGCAGGUGUGUUGUUGUUGGGAAGGAGCAAACAGAUUGUGACCGCUGCGCUGUUAUGUUAAAUUGUGUUGGAAUAAAGAAUCUAAAGGACAAGAUAAGUAUGGUUUCAGUUAUUGAACUAAGUUUAAUACGUUUAUUCAUACCAGUGACAUUGCAUUAACCUGCCAACAAACAGCUCAGUGGCUUUAAAUGUAGGCUUAGCCUCGACAGCAUCUAUAACACCAUUAAAAUGCAGUAAUGGCCACACAAAAAAUAAAACGUGACCAUAUUCAGUUUAAGCCAUUUUAUGUGGUUUAGUUUAUACACUUGAAUCACAGUAGAUGAUA